CCUACGGGAGGCAGCAGUAGGGAAUAUUGCUCAAUGGGGGAAACCCUGAAGCAGCAACGCCGCGUGGAGGAUGACGGUUUUCGGAUUGUAAACUCCUUUUGUUAGAGAAGAUAAUGACGGUAUCUAACGAAUAAGCACCGGCUAACGCCGUGCCAGCAGCCGCGGUAAUACGGAGGGAGCAAGCGUUACUCGGAAUCACUGGGCGUAAAGAGCGCGUAGGCGGGAUAGCAAGGCAGAUGUGAAAUCCUAGGGCUUAACCAUAGAACUGCAUUUGAAACUGUUAUUCUUGAGUGUGCGAGAGGUAGGUGGAAUUCUUGGUGUAGCGGUGAAAUGCGUAGAUAUCAAGAGGAAUACUGAUUGCGAAGGCGACCUACUAGAACAUAACUGACGCUGAUGCGCGAAAGCGUGGGGAGCGAACAGGAUUAGAUACCCGAGUAGUC
This 440-nucleotide ribosomal RNA is filed under the name uncultured bacterium. Its description in RNAcentral is "partial 16S ribosomal RNA". It matches the Rfam family "Bacterial small subunit ribosomal RNA", at positions 338 to 795 of the family's 1533-position model. The record is from RNAcentral.